CCUACGGGUGGCAGCAGUGGGGAAUAUUGCACAAUGGGGGAAACCCUGAUGCAGCGACGCCGCGUGAGUGAAGAAGUAUUUCGGUAUGUAAAGCCCUAUCAGCAGGGAAGAAAAUGACGGUACCUGACUAAGAAGCCCCGGCUAACUACGUGCCAGCAGCCGGGGUAAUACGUAGGGGGCAAGCGUUAUCCGGAUUUACGGGGUGUAAAGGGAGCGUAGACGGGGCGGCAAGGCUGAAGUGAAAGGCAGGGGGGUAACCCCUGGACUGCUUUGGAAACUGGCAUGCUUGGGGGCUGGAGAGGUAAGUGGAAUUCCUGGUGUAGCGGUGAAAUGCGUAGAUAUUAAGAGGAACACCAGGGGCGGAGGCGGCCUACUGGACAGUAACUGACGUUGAAGCUCGAAAGCGUGGGGAGCAAACAGGAUUAGAUACCCUUGUAGUC
This 440-nucleotide ribosomal RNA is filed under the name uncultured bacterium. Its description in RNAcentral is "partial 16S ribosomal RNA". It matches the Rfam family "Bacterial small subunit ribosomal RNA", at positions 338 to 795 of the family's 1533-position model. The record is from RNAcentral.